AUACAGUGGUGUGAACAUUUUCUCAAAGGUUCUUUGUACCUUUCCCAAGUUUCAUAAAGUGAUUCUACUUUUUGCUGCAUAAAAGAUGUGAUUUCUCCUCUCAGCUU
Molecule: small nucleolar RNA, 107 nt
Organism: Abrus precatorius (Indian licorice)
Lineage: Eukaryota; Viridiplantae; Streptophyta; Magnoliopsida; Fabales; Fabaceae
Source: RefSeq, a predicted model, not a curated record